This 450-nucleotide ribosomal RNA is filed under the name uncultured bacterium. Its description in RNAcentral is "partial 16S ribosomal RNA". It matches the Rfam family "Bacterial small subunit ribosomal RNA", at positions 354 to 796 of the family's 1533-position model. The record is from RNAcentral.
GUGGGGAAUUUUGGACAAUGGGCGAAAGCCUGAUCCAGCCAUUCCGCGUGCAGGAUGAAGGCCCUCGGGUUGUAAACUGCUUUUGUACAGAACGAAAAAGCUCCGGCUAAUACCUGGAGUCCAUGACGGUACUGUAAGAAUAAGCACCGGCUAACUACGUGCCAGCAGCCGCGGUAAUACGUAGGGUGCAAGCGUUAAUCGGAAUUACUGGGCGUAAAGCGUGCGCAGGCGGUUUUGUAAGACAGAGGUGAAAUCCCCGGGCUCAACCUGGGAACUGCCUUUGUGACUGCACGGCUGGAGUGCGGCAGAGGGGGAUGGAAUUCCGCGUGUAGCAGUGAAAUGCGUAGAUAUGCGGAGGAACACCGAUGGCGAAGGCAAUCCCCUGGGCCUACACUGACGCUCAUGCACGAAAGCGUGGGGAGCAAACAGGAUUAGAAACCCUGGUAGUCC